This 551-nucleotide ribosomal RNA is filed under the name Rhodotorula mucilaginosa. Its description in RNAcentral is "LSU rRNA". It matches the Rfam family "Eukaryotic large subunit ribosomal RNA", at positions 54 to 620 of the family's 3401-position model. The record is from RNAcentral. Lineage: Eukaryota; Fungi; Basidiomycota; Microbotryomycetes; Sporidiobolales; Sporidiobolaceae.
AGGAAAAGAAACUAACAAGGAUUCCCCUAGUAGCGGCGAGCGAAGCGGGAAGAGCUCAAAUUUAUAAUCUGGCACCUUCGGUGUCCGAGUUGUAAUCUCUAGAAAUGUUUUCCGCGUUGGACCGCACACAAGUCUGUUGGAAUACAGCGGCAUAGUGGUGAGACCCCCGUAUAUGGUGCGGACGCCCAGCGCUUUGUGAUACAUUUUCGAAGAGUCGAGUUGUUUGGGAAUGCAGCUCAAAUUGGGUGGUAAAUUCCAUCUAAAGCUAAAUAUUGGCGAGAGACCGAUAGCGAACAAGUACCGUGAGGGAAAGAUGAAAAGCACUUUGGAAAGAGAGUUAACAGUACGUGAAAUUGUUGGAAGGGAAACGCUUGAAGUCAGACUUGCUUGCCGAGCAAUCGGUUUGCAGGCCAGCAUCAGUUUUCCGGGAUGGAUAAUGGUAGAGAGAAGGUAGCAGUUUCGGCUGUGUUAUAGCUCUCUGCUGGAUACAUCUUGGGGGACUGAGGAACGCAGUGUGCCUUUGGCGGGGGUUUCGACCUCUUCACACUUAG